This 495-nucleotide ribosomal RNA is filed under the name uncultured bacterium. Its description in RNAcentral is "partial 16S ribosomal RNA". It matches the Rfam family "Bacterial small subunit ribosomal RNA", at positions 28 to 507 of the family's 1533-position model. The record is from RNAcentral.
GACGAACGCUGGCGGCGUGCCUAAUACAUGCAAGUAGAACGCUGAAGGAGGAGCUUGCUUCUCUGGAUGAGUUGCGAACGGGUGAGUAACGCGUAGGUAACCUGCCUGGUAGCGGGGGAUAACUAUUGGAAACGAUAGCUAAUACCGCAUAAGAGUAGAUGUUGCAUGACAUUUGCUUAAAAGGUGCAAUUGCAUCACUACCAGAUGGACCUGCGUUGUAUUAGCUAGUUGGUGGGGUAACGGCCCACCAAGGCGACGAUACAUAGCCGACCUGAGAGGGGGGUCCGCCACACUGGGAACGAGACCAGGGCCCAAACCCCUCGGGAGGGAGGCAGAGGGGAUUCUUGGGCAAUGACCGAAGGCCUAACGAGCAACGCCGCGUGAGUGAAGAAGGUUUUCGGAUCGUAAAGCUCUGUUGUAAGAGAAGAACGAGUGUGAGAGUGGAAAGUUCACACUGUGACGGUAUCUUACCAGAAAGGGACGGCUAACUACGUG